Molecule: ribosomal RNA, 331 nt
Filed under: uncultured eukaryote
Lineage: Eukaryota
Description: partial 18S ribosomal RNA
Rfam family: Eukaryotic small subunit ribosomal RNA
Source: RNAcentral
CCCUUAGAUGUUCUGGGCCGCACGCGCGCUACACUGUUCGACGCAGCGAGUCUUAACCUUGACCGAAAGGUUUGGGUAAUCUUCAGCAAAGUCGAACGUGAUGGGGAUCGAUCAUUGCAAUUAUUGAUCGUGAACGAGGAAUUCCUAGUAAGUGCAAGUCAUCAGCUUGCGCUGAUUACGUCCCUGCCCUUUGUACACACCGCCCGUCGCCACUACCGAUUGAAUGGUUUAGUGAGAUCUCUGGAUUGACGCUGGCUAGGGGGCGACCCUUGGCCAGACUGUUGAGAAACUGCUCAAACUUGAUCAUUUAGAGGAAGUAAAAGUCGUAACA